RNAcentral lists this unclassified non-coding RNA (298 nucleotides) under uncultured fungus. RNAcentral's name for it is "partial contains small subunit ribosomal RNA, internal transcribed spacer 1, and 5.8S ribosomal RNA". The stretch from base 1 to 73 matches the Rfam family "Eukaryotic small subunit ribosomal RNA", at positions 1759 to 1831 of the family's 1831-position model. The record is from RNAcentral. Lineage: Eukaryota; Fungi.
ACAAACUUGGUCAUUUAGAGGAAGUAAAAGUCGUAACAAGGUUUCCGUAGGUGAACCUGCGGAAGGAUCAUUAUUGAUUGAUAAAGGGAUGUGCUGGCAAAAAUACCACUUUGCAUUGUGCACUCCUGAAAUCUUCAUCCACUUUUUUGUGCACGUUGUAGACAAAGCUGCUUUUUGGCUUUUGUCUAUGUUUUUAUUACACAUUCAUCAGUCAUUUAAUGAUUUGUGACUAUUAGUCAAAUUUAAUACAACUUUCAACAACGGAUUUCUUGGUUCUCGCAUCGAUGAAGAACGCAGC